This 456-nucleotide ribosomal RNA is filed under the name uncultured copper smeltery bacterium D62. RNAcentral describes it as "bacterial SSU rRNA". It matches the Rfam family "Bacterial small subunit ribosomal RNA", at positions 1 to 504 of the family's 1533-position model. The record is from RNAcentral.
GCCCUUAGAGUUUGAUCAUGGCUCAGAACGAACGCUGGCGGCAUGCCUAACACAUGCAAGUCGAACGAGACCUUCGGGUCUAGUGGCGCACGGGUGCGUAACGCGUGGGAAUCUGCCCUUAGGUUCGGAAUAACUCAGGGAAACUUGAGCUAAUACCGGAUAAUGACUUCGGUCCAAAGAUUUAUCGCCUAGGGAUGAGCCCGCGUCGGAUUAGCUAGUUGGUGAGGUAAAAGCUCACCAAGGCGACGAUCCGUAGCUGGUCUGAGAGGAUGAUCAGCCACACUGGGACUGAGACACGGCCCAGACUCCUACGGGAGGCAGCAGUGGGGAAUAUUGGGCAAUGGGGGAAACCCUGAUCCAGCAAUGCCGCGUGAGUGAUGAAGGCCUUAGGGUUGUAAAGCUCUUUUACCCGGGAUGAUAAUGACAGUACCGGGAGAAUGAGCCCCAAAAAAGUCU